RNAcentral lists this ribosomal RNA (638 nucleotides) under Antiphalera exqusitor. RNAcentral's name for it is "partial 28S ribosomal RNA". RNAcentral also lists the same sequence under 1 other name. Lineage: Eukaryota; Metazoa; Arthropoda; Insecta; Lepidoptera; Notodontidae. The record is from RNAcentral.
GGGGUAAACCUGCGAAACUCGAAUGAACGAACGGAGAGAUUCAUCGUCAUUCCGCGGCGUACGCGUGCGCGUUGCGAUGCCCCCGACCUCGGUCGGGUUGGCACGACGCGUACUCGUCGACGUCCGUGGACGGCGUGCACUUCUCUCUCAGUAAACAUUACAUCGCGACCCGUUCGAUGUCGGUCUAAGCGCCGCCCGGGAGCCCCGGCGUCACCCUUCACGGGGUUGGCGACGGGACCGUCGGUGGACGCCGACCGGCCGUCGGACGGUAUGUUAUAUGAAACGUGCACGCGUUUACGACGCGUCCGGCCCGACGCAAGUCAACGUCGUAUCCGACGUUCCGCCAGUGCGCGGACGUUGGUGCGGCGCGUCUGCUGUCGCCGCCGUGUUGUCUCGGACUGUGCGCGUCUCCGUCUGCGAUGAUUCAGUUUCGGGCACUCGCAGGACCCGUCUUGAAACACGGACCAAGGAGUCUAGCAUGUAUGCGAGUCAUUGAGAUAUUAUCAACAAACUGAAAGGCGUAACGAAAGUGAAGGCGUGCGCUAGUCGCGCGCUCAGGGAGGAUGGAGCGUCGAUCUAGGUCGAUCUCUCGCACUCCCGAGGCGUCUCGUUUCCAAUCCGUGAAUGCAGGCGCGCUC